CGCGUAGGUGGUAGUGUAAGUCUGGGGUGGAAUGCCGGGGCUUAACCCUGGAAUUGCCUUGGAAACUGCAUUACUUGAGUCAGUGAGGGGAGGGUAGAAUUCCUGGUGUAGCGGUGAAAUGCGUAGAUAUCAGGAGGAAGGCCUGUGGCGAAGGCGGCCCUCUGGUGCUGGACUGACACUGAGGCGCGAAAGCGUGGGGAGCAAACAGGAUUAGAUACCCUGGUAGUCCACGCCCUAAACGGUGGGCACUAGGUGUAGGGCUCGUAAGGGUUCUGUGCCGAAGGGAAACCAUUAAGUGCCCCCGCCUGGGGAGUACGGCCGCAAGGUUGAA
RNAcentral lists this ribosomal RNA (331 nucleotides) under uncultured bacterium. RNAcentral's name for it is "bacterial SSU rRNA". It matches the Rfam family "Bacterial small subunit ribosomal RNA", at positions 568 to 898 of the family's 1533-position model. The record is from RNAcentral.